CCGAGAUGGUGCGCGGCGGAGCCCAGAGCAAACCCCGGGCGGGGCUGGGGUGACUGAGCUGCGAAUAUCCCCAUCCCAGCUGGACCCCGGCGCAGCGCUGAGAUGCCAGGUGGAUGGAUACAGGGAUGAGUGUGACUCUGACCAAUCCCAGCCCCUGGGGACAGAGGUGUCCGCACCUUACCGCUGGGCCCACCCCAGAAGUGGCUGCAUCUCAGCACCAGUCCCCGGGGCUCCCGCGGACAUCAUAGGACCUACAGUUGCGCUUGUCCUAUUGCUGCUGGUGGGGCUGGUCGGCGUCAUAGCUUGGAGGUAUUUGCGCUUUGGCAAACCGGUAAUAUCCACGUCUCUGAUCUCUGGCAAUCCCCAUCUCCUCCCGCCGGCCUUUGCCGGAGAUCCCCGCGCAAUCCAGGGCUGAGAAUUGCAGAGCCAGUUCAGAUGCAUGGAAACCCAGUUGGGGGGAGGUGAUUGAAUGGUGGUGGUUGGGUCCCACACAGAUACC
Molecule: long non-coding RNA, 499 nt
Filed under: Chrysemys picta bellii (western painted turtle)
Lineage: Eukaryota; Metazoa; Chordata; Testudines; Emydidae
Description: lncRNA (ENSCPBG00000017227.1)
Source: RNAcentral